Non-coding RNA from Hordeum vulgare subsp. vulgare (domesticated barley), 136 nucleotides. NCBI's taxonomy places the organism in Eukaryota, Viridiplantae, Streptophyta, Magnoliopsida, Poales, Poaceae. The record is from Rfam.
AUUGUACUCCCUCUAUCUCAAAAUUCUUGUCUUAGAUUUAUCUAUAUAUGAAUGUAUCUAGUCACAUUUNNNUAUUUAGAUACAUCCAUUUCUAGAAAAACUUAAGACAAUAAUUUUGGAACGGAGGGAGUACAUA